CCUACGGGGGGCAGCAGUGGGGAAUAUUGGACAAUGGGGGGAACCCUGAUCCAGCCAUGCCGCGUGUGUGAAGAAGGCCCUCGGGUUGUAAAGCACUUUCAGUGAGGAAGAACGCCUGGUGGUUAAUACCCAUCAGGAAAGACAUCACUCACAGAAGAAGCACCGGCUAACUCCGUGCCAGCAGCCGCGGUAAUACGGAGGGUGCGAGCGUUAAUCGGAAUUACUGGGCGUAAAGCGCGCGUAGGUGGCUUGAUAAGCCGGUUGUGAAAGCCCCGGGCUCAACCUGGGAACGGCAUCCGGAACUGUCAAGCUAGAGUGCAGGAGAGGAAGGUAGAAUUCCCGGUGUAGCGGUGAAAUGCGUAGAGAUCGGGAGGAAUACCAGUGGCGAAUGCGGCCUUCUGGACUGACACUGACACUGAGGUGCGAAAGCGUGGGUAGCAAACAGGAUUAGAUACCCUUGUAGUC
RNAcentral lists this ribosomal RNA (465 nucleotides) under Vreelandella stevensii. RNAcentral's name for it is "partial 16S ribosomal RNA". It matches the Rfam family "Bacterial small subunit ribosomal RNA", at positions 338 to 795 of the family's 1533-position model. Lineage: Bacteria; Pseudomonadati; Pseudomonadota; Gammaproteobacteria; Oceanospirillales; Halomonadaceae. The record is from RNAcentral.